AUUUUGGUGGCUGAAUUUAGGCGAUAAAUUGUAAAUUUAUAUAUGACUUAAUUGUCCCAUG
RNAcentral lists this transfer RNA (61 nucleotides) under Glossodoris acosti. Its description in RNAcentral is "tRNA-Tyr". The record is from RNAcentral. Lineage: Eukaryota; Metazoa; Mollusca; Gastropoda; Nudibranchia; Chromodorididae.